Molecule: ribosomal RNA, 450 nt
Filed under: uncultured bacterium
Lineage: Bacteria
Description: partial 16S ribosomal RNA
Rfam family: Bacterial small subunit ribosomal RNA
Source: RNAcentral
GUGGGGAAUAUUGCACAAUGGGCGCAAGCCUGAUGCAGCCAUGCCGCGUGUGUGAAGAAGGCCUUCGGGUUGUAAAGCACUUUCAGCGGGGAGGAAGGCGGUGAGGUUAAUAACCUCAUCGAUUGACGUUACCCGCAGAAGAAGCACCGGCUAACUCCGUGCCAGCAGCCGCGGUAAUACGGAGGGUGCAAGCGUUAAUCGGAAUUACUGGGCGUAAAGCGCACGCAGGCGGUCUGUUAAGUCGGAUGUGAAAUGCCCGGGCUGAACCUGGGGACUGCAUUCGAAACUGGCAGGCUAGAGGGUUGUAGAGGGGGGUAGAAUUCCAGGUGUAGCGGUGAAAUGCGUAGAGAUCUGGAGGAAUACCGGUGGCGAAGGCGGCCCCCUGGACAAAGACUGACGCUCAGGUGCGAAAGCGUGGGGAGCAAACAGGAUUAGAAACCCGAGUAGUCC